Molecule: ribosomal RNA, 1403 nt
Filed under: uncultured organism
Description: bacterial SSU rRNA
Rfam family: Bacterial small subunit ribosomal RNA
Source: RNAcentral
CCUGGCUCAGAGCGAACGUUGGCGAUGCGUUUUAAGCAUGCAAGUCGAGCGGUAUCAUUUACUUCGGUUUAUGAGAGAGCGGCGAACUGGUGAGUAACACGUAGGUAAUCUACCCUUUAGCGGGGGAUAGCUCCUGGAAACAGGGAUUAAUACCCCAUAGUCUUUUACGGCAUAAGUUGUAAAAGUAAAGUAGCAAUACACUAUAGGAUGAGCCUGCGCCCUAUUAGCUAGUGAGGUAGGUGCUUUGCAAAGCGACGAUAGGUAGGCUAGCCUGCCUGAGAGGGCGACCGGCCACAUUGGGACUGAGAUACGGCCCAGACUCCUACGGGAGGCAGCAGCUAAGAAUCUUCCGCAAUGGACGAAAGUCUGACGGAGCGACAUCGCGUGAGGGACGAAGGCCUUCGGGUUGUAAACCUCUUUUGUUAUCGAUGAAUGAGUGACCGUAGAUAACGAAUAAACCUCGGCUAAUUACGUGCCAGCAGCCGCGGUAAUACGUAAGAGGCAAACGUUGCUCGGAUUUACUGGGCGUAAAGGGUGAGUAGGCGGAAUCGUAAGUUUAAGGUGAAAGAUCGGAGCUUAACUCCGAAAACGCCUUGGAUACUGCGGUUCUAGAGUGAGGCAGAGGAUGAUGGAAUUCCUGGUGUAAGGGUGGAAUCUGUAGAUAUCAGGAAGAACACCAAUGGCGAAGGCGGUCAUCUGGGCCUUAACUGACGCUGAAUCACGAAAGCUAGGGGAGCGAACGGGAUUAGAUACCCCGGUAGUCCUAGCCGUAAACGUUGUACACUGGGUGUUUGUGGCACGUCCACAAGUGCCGUAGCUAACGUGUUUAGUGUACCGCCUGGGGAGUAUGCUCGCAAGGGUGAAACUCAAAGGAAUUGACGGGGGCCCGCACAAGUGGUGGAGCAUGUGGUUUAAUUCGAUGAUACGCGAAAAACCUUACCUGGGUUUGAAAUGGUAGAGGAAUGGUGCAGAGAUGUGCCAGCCCGCAAGGGCCUUUAUCACAGGUGCUGCAUGGCUGUCGUCAGCUCGUGUCGUGAGAUGUUGGGUUAAGUCCCGCAACGAGCGCAACCCCUACUCCUUGUUGCUACCGGGUAAUGCCGGGCACUCUCGGAGAACUGCCUGCGACAAGCAGGAGGGAGGUGGGGAUGACGUCAAGUCCUCAUGGCCCUUAUGUCCAGGGCUACACACGUGCUACAAUGGGUGAUACAGAGAGAAGCGAUACCGCGAGGUGGGGCGAAUCUCAAAAAGUCAUCCUCAGUUCGGAUUGGAGUCUGAAACUCGACCCCAUGAAGCUGGAAUCACUAGUAAUCGCAGAUCAGAAUGCUGCGGUGAUACGUUCCCGGGCCUUGUACACACCGCCCGUCACACCACCUGAGUUGGUUUUACCCGAAGUCGUUAGCCUA